UGAGCAGUUGGAAGCUCAGUGGUAGAGUGCAUGCUUGUGUAUGAUGUCCUGGGUUCGAACCCCAGCUGCUCCC
Dallia pectoralis (Alaska blackfish) is the source of this 73-nucleotide non-coding RNA. The record is from the annotation of a GenBank genome assembly. Lineage: Eukaryota; Metazoa; Chordata; Actinopteri; Esociformes; Umbridae.